RNAcentral lists this long non-coding RNA (3680 nucleotides) under Coffea arabica (coffee). Its description in RNAcentral is "long non-coding RNA (CARA_LNC000096)". The record is from RNAcentral. Lineage: Eukaryota; Viridiplantae; Streptophyta; Magnoliopsida; Gentianales; Rubiaceae.
CCAUUUUGGACUUUAACCGAGAGCAAAACCAAGAGAGGAAACAAAUAGGAGUCGGUUGUUUCAUUUGAUAGCAGAAACCGUGAGGAGCAAAAGAGAGAAAUAGAGUGUGAAGCUUUCUUCCUCCUCCAACCACAAAACCGUGAGCAAAAGUGCGAGAUAGGGAGAGAAAUCUUGUGCGUUUCAUCACCUACCAGCCUCAAACGAGAGAGAGGGAUGCAAGGGAGGAGAAGGAGAGAGACUGAUGCAUUUAUCUUGAGGAACCAAAGCAGAAACAAGGCGCAGUCUGCAAUUUCAGAUUUUGGGAGCAAAGGGAGGUAAAAUUUGCAGCAACACCCUUCAAUCUUCCAUUACUUUUAAUCAUGACUGUUGCAUGUUAAGUUUUAGCUAGGAAAAAUGAGUUUUGGCUGAGGAAAAAUUCUGAUUAAGAGCUGCAAGAAAACUUUGUGAUGGCGAGAGAGUGGAGCUGGAAUUGCAGCCUGUUAUUCAUGUUUCUUUGGGGAAUAAUGUUAGGAAUGCAUGCCAAAGGUUUAAAUUUAAGUUUUAUAAGAAGCUCAGCCGGAAAAACUUAUGAAAAACGGGAAGAUUACGCUGGAAAUGUUUAGAAAUAGCUGCUGGAACUUUUCCAGCUUCAGUCGAGAGAAGGAAAAGAAUCCUUCCAGAUUUCCUCAUGAACUCUGUCUGGUUCCAAACUUUUACAUUGAGACGUGAUUUGUUGUAUGAUACCUUAGCCUUAGCCAGCAUGAAAGAUUUGUGUAUAAAUGAAGAAACUUUUGAAGAGUUUCAUGUCGUAUAACUGGUUGCUGCAAGAAUCUCCUUUCAAUUUGGCCGAGAAGGAAGACCCGGUUCAGCUAUGCUUUUGAUUCCUUGGCUGUGACCUUUAUAUUGUCGCUUACGAUACUCUGUGGCUUGAUAAUUACUCUCUGUAUGUUAAGUUGGAAGUGAGGAAAAUGAAGAAAUUGAGAAGGACAGCUUUGUAUUUAACCUGCCGAACUGCUGAAGGUUGUAAUUAGCUGAGGACAGAAUUAUUUGUGGCUUCUUGGUGGAAUAAUUUGCUAGAAUUACCUGUUAUUUGAUUCAUUUCACGUUGGACAGAAUGUGUGUUAUGUGUAUAGUAUUUUAGGCAAGUAAAAGACGUAAACUCUGUUGAAAAUUCUGCAAUAAUGUUGCUGGAAACUUGCUUAAUGGCCGAGAGAAAGAGGGGCUGAAACUCUCGUGUGAUUUUUGGAAAAUUUCAUGAUACUUGGCUGCAAUCUUGAGUAAAACAUUGUAUACUAUCUUGUCCCUGUUUCAUGUGCAUUUUAUUGACUUUUAACACUUAAAAAGCUGGUGAAUUGGAGCAAAUUUAAACAACAAGCAAACUAGAAUCUGGUUUAGCUUAAAAAGGAAAGAAAUGAAAAGUUCACUAGCCUUAAUCUUUAAAUUUGGGUUGAAAAUAAUUUAACCUUAGUUUAAACACCUCACAAGACCUUAAAUUUGGAGUACAUGUAUAUGUCCUUGUUUGUUGAUAAAUUUGAUAAAUCUCGAAGAGAAAUGUAAGAAAGAAUUGCUGGAAUUUCACAUCUUGUUUGAUAAGCUAAGGAACUUGGUUUCUAGUGAUUUAAACCUUAAAUUGGUGAGUUUUUAAUGCUUAAAACUUCUCUCCUUACACUUUAGAAUUUUAGAACUUAUGUUUGGGGCUGCACAUAAAUUCCUAAUCUAAAAGUAUGAAUCAAAUGGGAGUUUUAAGAGUACUAGACUGCUUGGAUUAGUUGAACUAUGUUUAGAGAAUCCUAAAACUCUAAAUAAACUUAUUAGAAUUCACAUUAAGAAUACCUGAAUGAUUAUAGUUGUAUUUUACCUCAGGAAUUGAGAGUGAUCAAGGGUUUAACCCAGAAAGCUUGAAGUAAUAUUGCUGAAUUUAUGUCGAUUGGUUGAAUGGUAAUGAGGUAAGACUUAUUUGAUGUUUUAGGAACUCUAAGGUAAUUUGUUAUGGCUGCAUACAUGAAAUGGAUCCUAAUUACUUAAAUUGGUUUCUAAUUACUUAAUAUUGUCUUCACAAAUAUUUUAAAGAUUAUAAAAUUUGAGAGGCUAGUGUAAUGAAAUAAAAUUUAAAGUGCACACAACUUAGACCUUGGCUUGUUAAAAGGAGAAUCAAUGGAGUGUUUCUAAGCUUGCAUCUUAGGAUUUUGAGUGGAAACUAGGUUACAGUUAAUGUAAAUACCUAUAAGAUUAUAACCAUAGAACAUAUGUAUAAUUCUUGGUUUAAAUGAUAAAAUUAAUAAGUUUCAAAAUAAAAUGUAGGAUAAACAGUAAAUAGAGAAUAUAUUUGUAUUUCAAGGUCAAACUUGAUUUUAAUAGUUUAAAUAAUAAUGUAGAUUAUAUAUUUACCCUGAAAUUAUUAACUUGUCCCAGGAAAUAGCAGUGAGCUAGGAAACAAACUCGAGGCUCGAGAGUAAAUUAUUUGGAUAAUUGGUGAGUGUUUUCCGAAUUUAUGUAUUAAACUGCUUAUGUGUACCUAAGUGUAAUUAUAUGGCAAAUGUGUUUAUUAUGAAUAUGUGACAAAAUGUGCUUAUUAUGAAUAUGUGACAAAUGUGCUUAUUAUGAUAUAUUGCUAAAGUGAUUCAUUGGAAAGUGUAUCUCAAUUGUCCCUUGUCUUCUAAGUCGAGGGUGUACUUUAUCGCACUCGGCUUAGUUGAGUUUGAAGGUUAAUAAUUGAUCAAGUGAUAUUGUAAGUGUGCAUGACUGUAAGUCGUGUGUGUACUUUAUCACACUGGCUGAACUGGGCCCCAAAACCCUUUGUUCAACGGACUAUUCGAGCCAGCAAAAAGGGCUCGGUCGGAUGGGACGGUAGCUUUGGGUAAGUGUAUUGGUAUGCUCGAGUAUUACCAUAGAGUAGCAGAUUACUGAUAUUGAUAUGGCCAUCCAAGUGAGGGAAGUGUUUAUUGUUUUGGAGGUUAUAAGGAGGAGUUCGGCGGAGUGUGUAGUGCAUUGAAGUGGCUCUAAUGCGAGCACCGUAUCCUUUUAAAAGUGAUUGUUCAGUGAAGUGUCUCCUCAAUUGCUAAUGAAAGUGAUUGUACAGUGAAAUGUGCACUACUUGCUUAAUUGUAUUGAUUCAUGUGAUUAUUAAAUGUUACUUGCAUGGAAACCUCAUGGGCGUAAGCUCACCCUUUUAGCUUUGUUUUCCUUACAGGAGUAGGAGAAGAGUGAUUGGAUUGAACUAGAAAGUUAUUUUGGGAAGAUCCGUUAUUCUGUGUAUAUAGUGUAGGCAUGGUCUCUUUUGAAUUUUGAGACGGUUGAAUUUUUGUUUGAGUUGGUGUGAUAUUAAGAAUGGAUAUUUAAAACAAGUAUUUUGUUUCUUUUAUUGGACAAAUUUAUGUUUCAAACUGAUUGGCGAUGUACUUAAGAGUAAAUGUUCAGUUGUCCAAUGGUAAUGUUAUCUUUGAAGUUAAUGUGAGUGAGUGAAUCCUGGCGAGAGUCAGGUAAGCGAUUCACUAACUUCUAGGGUAUGCCCUAGGAGAAGGUGGGGUCGUCACAGCAUAGCUCUCCUCUGAGAAAGCUGUGAUUUUUUUCCCAUUUUUUUUUUCCACUCUACCUUGAUGAGUCAAGACAGAAAAUCUAUUAUAUAGUUUAAGACGAAAGAUUUUCACUACAAGUCAUUUUUGCUUAACCAUAUGGACUUCUACUGCUUUUAUGUGUUGUCU